AUUGAACGCUGGCGGCAUGCUUUACACAUGCAAGUCGAACGCGAAAGGGGGGCAACUCCUGAGUAGAGUGGCGCACGGGUGAGUAAUACAUCGGAACGUGUCCUGUAAUGGGGGAUAACGCAGCGAAAGCUGUGCUAAUACCGCAUACGUCCUACGGGAGAAAGUGGGGGACCGCAAGGCCUCACGUUAUAGGAGCGGCCGAUGCCGGAUUAGCUAGUUGGUGGGGUAAAGGCUCACCAAGGCAACGAUCCGUAGCUGGUCUGAGAGGAUGAUCAGCCACACUGGGACUGAGACACGGCCCAGACUCCUACGGGAGGCAGCAGUGGGGAAUUUUGGACAAUGGGCGCAAGCCUGAUCCAGCCAUGCCGCGUGAGUGAAGAAGGCCUUCGGUUGUAAGACUCUUUCGGUCCGGGACGGAAAUACGCACGGGUUAACAACCGCGUGUGGAUGACGGUACCGGAACGUAAGAAGACACCGGCUAACUACGUGCCAGCAGCCGCGGU
Molecule: ribosomal RNA, 503 nt
Filed under: uncultured bacterium
Lineage: Bacteria
Description: bacterial SSU rRNA
Rfam family: Bacterial small subunit ribosomal RNA
Source: RNAcentral